Molecule: ribosomal RNA, 440 nt
Filed under: uncultured bacterium
Lineage: Bacteria
Description: partial 16S ribosomal RNA
Rfam family: Bacterial small subunit ribosomal RNA
Source: RNAcentral
CCUACGGGGGGCUGCAGUGGGGAAUAUUGGACAAUGGGCGAAAGCCUGAUCCAGCCAUGCCGCGUGAGUGAUGAAGGCCCUAGGGUUGUAAAGCUCUUUCAACGGUGAAGAUAAUGACGGUAACCGUAGAAGAAGCCCCGGCUAACUUCGUGCCAGCAGCCGCGGUAAUACGAAGGGGGCUAGCGUUGUUCGGAAUUACUGGGCGUAAAGCGCACGUAGGCGGAUUGUUAAGUGAGGGGUGAAAUCCCAGGGCUCAACCCUGGAACUGCCUUUCAUACUGGCAAUCUAGAGUCCGGAAGAGGUGAGUGGAAUUCCGAGUGUAGAGGUGAAAUUCGUAGAUAUUCGGAGGAACACCAGUGGCGAAGGCGGCUCACUGGUCCGGUACUGACGCUGAGGUGCGAAAGCGUGGGGAGCAAACAGGAUUAGAUACCCCGGUAGUC